RNAcentral lists this transfer RNA (70 nucleotides) under Bos taurus (domestic cattle). It matches the Rfam family "tRNA". From Rfam's summary of the family: Transfer RNA (tRNA) molecules are approximately 80 nucleotides in length. Their secondary structure includes four short double-helical elements and three loops (D, anti-codon, and T loops). Lineage: Eukaryota; Metazoa; Chordata; Mammalia; Artiodactyla; Bovidae. The record is from Rfam by way of RNAcentral. RNAcentral also lists the same sequence under 2 other names.
UCUCAUAGCUCAGUUGGUAAAGAAUCUGCCUGCAAUGCAGAAAACCCUGGUUUGAUUCCUGGGUUGGGAA